This 479-nucleotide ribosomal RNA is filed under the name uncultured bacterium. Its description in RNAcentral is "partial 16S ribosomal RNA". It matches the Rfam family "Bacterial small subunit ribosomal RNA", at positions 28 to 507 of the family's 1533-position model. The record is from RNAcentral.
GAUGAACGCUGGCGGCGUGCUUAACACAUGCAAGUCGAACGAAGCACCUUGAUUUGAUUCUUCGGAUGAAGAUCUUGGUGACUGAGUGGCGGACGGGUGAGUAACGCGUGGGUAACCUGCCUCAUACAGGGGGAUAACAGUUAGAAAUGACUGCUAAUACCGCAUACGACCACAGCACCGCAUGGUGCAGGGGUAAAAACUCCGGUGGUAUGAGAUGGACCCGCGUCUGAUUAGGUAGUUGGUGGGGUAACGGCCUACCAAGCCGACGAUCAGUAGCCGACCUGAGAGGGUGACCGGCCACAUUGGGACUGAGACACGGCCCAAACUCCUACGGGAGGCAGCAGUGGGGAAUAUUGUACAAUGGGGGAAACCCUGAUGCAGCGACGCCGCGUGAGCGAUGAAGUAUUUCGGUAUGUAAAGCUCUAUCAGCAGGGAAGAAAAUGACGGUACCUGACUAAGAAGCACCGGCUAAAUACGUG